GGGCGCAAGCCUGAUGCAGCCAUGCCGCGUGUAUGAAGAAGGCCUUCGGGUUGUAAAGUACUUUCAGCAGUGAGGAAGUGGGUAUGUUAAUAGCAUAUUCAUUUGACGUUUAGCUGCAGAAGAAGCACCGGCUAACUCCGUGCCAGCAGCCGCGGUAAUACGGAGGGUGCGAGCGUUAAUCGGAAUUACUGGGCGUAAAGCGCAUGCAGGUGGUUUGUUAAGUCAGAUGUGAAAGCCCGGGGCUCAACCUCGGAAUUGCAUUUGAAACUGGCAAACUAGAGUACUGUAGAGGGGGUAGGAAUUUCAGGUGUAGCGGUGAAAUGCGUAGAGAUCUGAAGGAAUACCGGUGGCGAAGGCGGCCCCCUGGACAGAUACUGACACUCAGAUGCGAAAGCGUGGGGAGCAAACAGGAUUAGAUACCCUGGUAG
This 428-nucleotide ribosomal RNA is filed under the name uncultured bacterium. RNAcentral describes it as "bacterial SSU rRNA". It matches the Rfam family "Bacterial small subunit ribosomal RNA", at positions 373 to 793 of the family's 1533-position model. The record is from RNAcentral.